Long non-coding RNA from Arabidopsis lyrata subsp. lyrata, 866 nucleotides. RefSeq lists it as uncharacterized. The transcript is spliced from 4 exons. The record is from RefSeq and is a predicted model, not a curated record. Lineage: Eukaryota; Viridiplantae; Streptophyta; Magnoliopsida; Brassicales; Brassicaceae.
AAUAGGUUGUAACAUAGUGAAUAUAAAUUGGACAAAGCAUUGUGAGAGUGACAAAUUUAUUGUUGUUUCAACAGGCCCAUAAAAUAAACUCAGAAUCAGAAUAAAACAUGUCUAAUUUCACAUUACAGGCCCAAGCCCAACGACUCAUCCUCUCCAUUACAUGAUUUGUCGACAAACAGAGUUCCCAAUCUGAGAAACACUAUCAUCAAUUUUCACCGUCAAAAUCUAUCUGAUGCAAAUCGGAAUUGUGUGUUUUAUGUCAAACUCGAUAAUUGAGUUGAUCAUCACGACGAUUUUGAAGAGGCCAUCAAUCUCGAACUACUAAUCAGAAGGAGACGAAAACAUCGAUUAUCUAAAUCCGGGAAAGAAUUAUUCGAAUUCGAUGCGUGGCCAAAAACACAUAAAUCAUCAUUCUAGAAGCAGCUUUUGAUGAUCCUCUUCCUAUAGUGAACUGCGAGGGAGAUUUUGUGAAAAGAGUUGAAUCAUUGUAUUGGAUGGGAAAUAACUCUACAAAGCUUGAAAAUGGCAGAACUCCACAUUGUUGGACUUUUUUCAGUAGUAAACAAAGUUCUUCAGGAAAACAUCCCAACAGUAACGGCAUAGAAAGUUAGAGCUGGGAUGCUUCAAGGUGUGGAAAUCGCAUUGGGGUUGCCUGAAGGCUCGAUUCCUAAACCCGUUUAUACACGUCUCAUUGACUAUUGAGACAUUGUCAAAAAAAAAAAAAAGGUAUUAGUCGUUUGCUGUGAAUUGCUUGAUGAGUUAGAAAUGAUAGAGAGGUUUGAUAUUUAUAGUGAAGUAUAAUGUUAGGGUUUUUGGCUCGAAAAUCUUGGAGCCGAAGCAAAAAAUAUUGGAUAUAUUAACUAUCA